UACAGAGGUCUCAAGCGUUGUUCGGAUUCAUUGGGCGUAAAGGGAGCGUAGGUGGCGGGGCAAGUCAGGUGUGAAAUCUCGGGGCUCAACCCCGAAACUGCACUUGAUACUGCCUUGCUCGAGUACUGGAGAGGAGAUUGGAAUUUACGGUGUAGCAGUGAAAUGCGUAGAUAUCGUAAGGAAGACCAGUGGCGAAGGCGAAUCUCUGGACAGUUACUGACACUGAGGCUCGAAGGCCAGGGGAGCAAACGGG
RNAcentral lists this ribosomal RNA (253 nucleotides) under uncultured bacterium. RNAcentral describes it as "partial 16S ribosomal RNA". It matches the Rfam family "Bacterial small subunit ribosomal RNA", at positions 524 to 776 of the family's 1533-position model. The record is from RNAcentral.